Molecule: long non-coding RNA, 540 nt
Organism: Perognathus longimembris pacificus (Pacific pocket mouse)
Lineage: Eukaryota; Metazoa; Chordata; Mammalia; Rodentia; Heteromyidae
Exons: 3
Source: RefSeq, a predicted model, not a curated record
GCCACUCACUCACUGGUCCUGGCUCCAAAAUAACUCAGCAGAAACGAGUUUCCAACCCCAAAGCCCCCCAAAUGUCUCCCAGGGAAGAGAUAUAGCUCCUAUAAUUAAAGGAGGCAACGGCCAGAGGGGGAAUGCAGUCGGCAGCCAAAAAAUAAAAAAAGUUUGAAAUUCAGGACACAAAGACAGUAUAUCAAUGAAAAGAAGAAAGUGGCCCUUUUAAUGGGAACCAAAGAAACCCCAAAUAUAGAUGAAGCGUACCGUGAGAGCUGCUUCAAAGUCCAUCUUAAUUCCCCCGGGUAAGCCCUCACCAGCACGUGGUAGUUGGGAGCUGUGCUCUGAGAUUCAAUUGUGAGGAAUUUCCAACCACACCUUCAGUCUAAUUACAUUUCUGGGGAGGGGAUAGAGGCAUGUAACUAGGUGCACAUCCCUGUAGGAAGUGACAGUGGUGAGACGUGCGUAUCCUGGGUAAUGUCCAUGUUUAGGACAAACAGAGGUUUAAGCUUCAGGUAAUAAAAGCAAGAAAAUAUCUCCUUUGUAAGU